ACGUUAACGAACGAGACCUCGACCUGCUAAAUAGUUCGGCGAAUCUUUCGGGAUUCGUACGCGCUUCUUAGAGGGACUAUCGGUGUGUAGCCGAUGGAAGUUCGAGGCAAUAACAGGUCUGUGAUGCCCUUAGAUGUUCUGGGCCGCACGCGCGCUACACUGAUACGUUCAUCGAGCUUACAACCUUGACUGAGAGGUCUGGGUAAUCUUUUUAAAGCGUAUCGUGAUGGGGAUAGAUUAUUGUAAUUUUUAGUCUUCAACGAGGAAUUCCUAGUAAACGCGAUUCAUCAAAUCGCAUUGAUUACGUCCCUGCCCUUUGUACACACCGCCCGUCGCUAAUACCGAUUGAAUGGAUAA
RNAcentral lists this ribosomal RNA (357 nucleotides) under Eukaryota sp. RNAcentral's name for it is "SSU rRNA". It matches the Rfam family "Eukaryotic small subunit ribosomal RNA", at positions 1325 to 1700 of the family's 1831-position model. The record is from RNAcentral.